UACUUAGGAGACAUAGAAAUGAACAGGA
RNAcentral lists this small RNA (28 nucleotides) under Bombyx mori (domestic silkworm). RNAcentral's name for it is "ovarian small RNA-21596". Lineage: Eukaryota; Metazoa; Arthropoda; Insecta; Lepidoptera; Bombycidae. The record is from RNAcentral.